This 262-nucleotide ribosomal RNA is filed under the name uncultured bacterium. RNAcentral's name for it is "partial 16S ribosomal RNA". It matches the Rfam family "Bacterial small subunit ribosomal RNA", at positions 524 to 784 of the family's 1533-position model. The record is from RNAcentral.
UACGGAGGGUGCAAGCGUUAAUCGGAAUUACUGGGCGUAAAGGGUGCGUAGGCGGUUUGGCAAGUCUUGUGUGAAAUCUUUGGGCUCAACCCAAAGUCUGCACAAGAAACUGCCGGGCUUGAGUAUGGGAGAGGUGAGUGGAAUUUCCGGUGUAGCGGUGAAAUGCGUAGAUAUCGGAAGGAACACCUGUGGCGAAAGCGGCUCACUGGACCAUUACUGACGCUGAGGCACGAAAGCUAGGGGAGCAAACAGGAGUUAGAAA